This 450-nucleotide ribosomal RNA is filed under the name uncultured bacterium. Its description in RNAcentral is "partial 16S ribosomal RNA". It matches the Rfam family "Bacterial small subunit ribosomal RNA", at positions 354 to 796 of the family's 1533-position model. The record is from RNAcentral.
GUGGGGAAUAUUGGACAAUGGGCGAAAGCCUGAUCCAGCCAUGCCGCGUGUGUGAAGAAGGUCUUCGGAUUGUAAAGCACUUUAAGUUGGGAGGAAGGGCAUUAACCUAAUACGUUAGUGUUUUGACGUUACCGACAGAAUAAGCACCGGCUAACUUCGUGCCAGCAGCCGCGGUAAUACGAAGGGUGCAAGCGUUAAUCGGAAUUACUGGGCGUAAAGCGCGCGUAGGUGGUUCGUUAAGUUGGAUGUGAAAGCCCCGGGCUCAACCUGGGAACUGCAUCCAAAACUGGUGAGCUAGAGUACGGUAGAGGGUGGUGGAAUUUCCUGUGUAGCGGUGAAAUGCGUAGAUAUAGGAAGGAACACCAGUGGCGAAGGCGACCACCUGGACUGAUACUGACACUGAGGUGCGAAAGCGUGGGGAGCAAACAGGAUUAGAUACCCUAGUAGUCC